This 323-nucleotide long non-coding RNA is filed under the name Gallus gallus (chicken). RNAcentral's name for it is "lncRNA (ENSGALG00010018669.1)". Lineage: Eukaryota; Metazoa; Chordata; Aves; Galliformes; Phasianidae. The record is from RNAcentral.
CUUCCAUAAGGGAAGGUUCUCUACCUGGGGUUUCUUCCUUUUGGAGUGUUUAGUAAGGCCCUGAUCCUUAGGAUAGCACGUUAACUCAAGAAGCACCAAAGAGCAAAAAUCUUACUGGAGAAGGAUAAUUGCAACGACUCUCCAAGGGCUCACUGUUCUUCCACCCAUCAGUAGAUGCAGUGCUGAGGAGAUAAGGAGUUUCGUCUUCACGGACCCUGAGGACUUCCGUGUGUUUCUUCAGCAUUUCUAACCAUCUCAUGGCUUGAGCGGGGAUGGAGGCCCACUCAGGGCUGUUGCUCUGGAGAACAAAGCCAAAGCCUGGG